AUGAACGCUGGCGGCGUGCCUCAUACAUGCAAGUCGAGCGAACAGACGAGGAGCUUGCUCCUCUGACGUUAGCGGCGGACGGGUGAGUAACACGUGGAUAACCUACCUAUAAGACUGGGAUAACUUCGGGAAACCGGAGCUAAUACCGGAUAAUAUAUUGAACCGCAUGGUUCAAUAGUGAAAGACGGUUUUGCUGUCACUUAUAGAUGGAUCCGCGCCGCAUUAGCUAGUUGGUAAGGUAACGGCUUACCAAGGCAACGAUGCGUGGCCGACCUGAGAGGGUGAUCGGCCACACUGGAACUGAGACACGGUCCAGACUCCUACGGGAGGCAGCAGUAGGGAAUCUUCCGCAAUGGGCGAAAGCCUGACGGAGCAACGCCGCGUGAGUGAUGAAGGUCUUCGGAUCGUAAAACUCUGUUAUUAGGGAAGAACAAAUGUGUAAGUAACUAUGCACGUCUUGACGGUACCUAAUCAGAAAGCCACGGCUAACUACGUG
Molecule: ribosomal RNA, 496 nt
Filed under: uncultured bacterium
Lineage: Bacteria
Description: partial 16S ribosomal RNA
Rfam family: Bacterial small subunit ribosomal RNA
Source: RNAcentral